RNAcentral lists this small RNA (1172 nucleotides) under Pan troglodytes (chimpanzee). Its description in RNAcentral is "processed transcript". Lineage: Eukaryota; Metazoa; Chordata; Mammalia; Primates; Hominidae. The record is from RNAcentral.
GGGCCUAGAGCGCUGCCGGGGGCGCCGGGACUAUGUCGCGGGCGCGGAGCCACCUGCGCGCCGCUCUAUUCCUGGCAGCAGCGUCUGCGCGCGGCGUAACGACCCAGGUCGCGGCGCGGCGGGGCUUGAGCGCGUGGCCGGUGCCGCAGGAGCCCAGCAUGGAGUACCAGGAUGCCGUGCGAAUGCUCAAUACCCUGCAGACCAAUGCCGGCUACCUGGAGCAGGUGAAGCGCCAGCGGGGUGACCCUCAGACACAGCUGGAAGCCAUGGAACUGUACCUAGCACGGAGUGGGCUGCAGGUGGAGGACUUGGACCGGCUGAACAUCAUCCACGUCACUGGGACGAAGGGGAAGGGCUCCACCUGUGCCUUCACGGAAUGUAUCCUCCGAAGCUAUGGCCUGAAGACGGGAUUCUUUAGCUCUCCCCACCUGGUGCAGGUUCGGGAGCGGAUCCGCAUCAAUGGGCAGCCCAUCAGUCCUGAGCUCUUCACCAAGUACUUCUGGCGCCUCUACCACCGGCUGGAGGAGACCAAGGAUGGCAGCUGUGUCUCCAUGCCCCCCUACUUCCGCUUCCUGACACUCAUGGCCUUCCACGUCUUCCUCCAAGAGAAGGUGGACCUGGCAGUGGUGGAGGUGGGCAUUGGCGGGGCUUAUGACUGCACCAACAUCAUCAGGAAGCCUGUGGUGUGUGGAGUCUCCUCUCUUGGCAUCGACCACACCAGCCUCCUGGGGGAUACGGUGGAGAAGAUCGCAUGGCAGAAAGGGGGCAUCUUUAAGGUGACCAGGCAGACUGGGGGAAGGGAGAGACAUGGAAGGCCUGGGAGUCUACGUUUUCAUCCUGGCUUCACUGUGUGACUGGAACAACAAGGUGUCCCUGCCUUCACUGUGCUCCAACCUGAAGGUCCCCUGGCAGUGCUGAGGGACCGAGCCCAGCAGAUCUCAUGUCCUCUAUACCUGUGUCCGAUGCUGGAGGCCCUCGAGGAAGGGGGGCCGCCGCUGACCCUGGGCCUGGAGGGGGAGCACCAGCGGUCCAACGCCGCCUUGGCCUUGCAGCUGGCCCACUGCUGGCUGCAGUGGCAGGACCGCCAUGGUGCUGGGGAGCCAAAGGCAUCCAGGCCAGGGCUCCUGUGGCAGCUGCCCCUGGCACCCGUGUUCCAGCCCACAUCCCACAUG